RNAcentral lists this small RNA (104 nucleotides) under Salmonella enterica. Its description in RNAcentral is "partial RtT sRNA". It matches the Rfam family "RtT RNA", at positions 1 to 103 of the family's 130-position model. Rfam says of the family: This family represents a bacterial cis-regulatory element known as RtT RNA. The exact function of RtT is unknown although it is thought that it may be involved in changing the cellular response in relation to amino acid starvation. Lineage: Bacteria; Pseudomonadati; Pseudomonadota; Gammaproteobacteria; Enterobacterales; Enterobacteriaceae. RNAcentral also lists the same sequence under 1 other name. The record is from RNAcentral.
AUAUCUUUCUGUACGGGAAGGAUGAGAAGCUUCGACUAAGGUUCGAUUCGAGCGCAGCGAGAAAGCGUUGCCGCAGGCAACGACCCGAAGGGCGAAGCGCGCAG